UGUGGGGGGCAGCUACACAUGCAAGUCGAACGGCAGCACGGCAGUAGCAAUACUGUGGGUGGCGAGUGGCGGACGGGUGAGGAAUACAUGGGAAUCUGCCCUGUCGUGGGGGAUAACGUAGGGAAACUUACGCUAAUACCGCAUACGACCGGAAGGUGAAAGCGGCGGACCGCAAGGCGUCGCGCGACUGGAUGAGCCCAUGUCGGAUUAGCUAGUUGGCGGGGUAAAGGCCCACCAAGGCGACGAUCCGUAGCUGGUCUGAGAGGAUGAUCAGCCACACUGGAACUGAGACACGGUCCAGACUCCUACGGGAGGCAGCAGUGGGGAAUAUUGGACAAUGGGCGCAAGCCUGAUCCAGCCAUGCCGCGUGAGUGAAGAAGGCCUUCGGGUUGUAAAGCUCUUUUGUCCGGAAAGAAAAGCCUUCGGUUAAUACCCGGGGGUGAUGACGGUACCGGAAGAAUAAGCACCGGCUAACUUCGUGCCAGCAGCCGCGGUAAUACGAAGGGUGCAAGCGUUACUCGGAAUUACUGGGCGUAAAGCGUGCGUAGGUGGUUCGUUAAGUCUGAUGUGAAAGCCCUGGGCUCAACCUGGGAAUGGCAUUGGAAACUGGCGACCUAGAGUGCGGUAGAGGGUAGUGGAAUUCCCGGUGUAGCAGUGAAAUGCGUAGAGAUCGGGAGGAACAUCCGUGGCGAAGGCGACUACCUGGACCAGCACUGACACUGAGGCACGAAAGCGUGGGGAGCAAACAGGAUUAGAUACCCUGGUAGUCCACGCCCUAAACGAUGCGAACUGGAUGUUGGGUGCAACUAGGCACUCAGUAUCGAAGCUAACGCGUUAAGUUCGCCGCCUGGGGAGUACGGUCGCAAGACUGAAACUCAAGGAAUUGACGGGGGCCCGCACAAGCGGUGGAGUAUGUGGUUUAAUUCGAUGCAACGCGAAGAACCUUACCUGGGCUUGACAUCCACGGAACUUUCCAGAGAUGGAUUGUGCCUUCGGGAACCGUGAGACAGGUGCUGCAUGGCUGUCGUCAGCUCGUGUUCGUGAGAUGUUGGGUUA
Molecule: ribosomal RNA, 1056 nt
Filed under: Lysobacter sp.
Lineage: Bacteria; Pseudomonadati; Pseudomonadota; Gammaproteobacteria; Lysobacterales; Lysobacteraceae
Description: bacterial SSU rRNA
Rfam family: Bacterial small subunit ribosomal RNA
Source: RNAcentral